Molecule: ribosomal RNA, 292 nt
Filed under: uncultured Acidobacteriota bacterium
Lineage: Bacteria; Pseudomonadati; Acidobacteriota
Description: uncultured Acidobacteria bacterium partial 16S ribosomal RNA
Source: RNAcentral
GGACUACCGGGGUAUCUAAUCCUGUUUGCUCCCCUAGCUUUCGUGCCUCAGCGUCAGUUUCUGUCCAGGUAGCCGCCUUCGCCACCGGUGUUCCUCCUGAUAUCUACGCAUUUCACCGCUACACCAGGAAUUCCGCUACCCCCUCCAGAACUCUAGCACUCCAGUUUCGGAUGCAGGCUCUGGGUUGAGCCCAGAGUUUUCACAUCCGACUUAGAGCACCGCCUACGCACCCUUUACGCCCAGUAAUUCCGAGCAACGCUGGCCCCCUACGUAUUACCGCGGCUGCUGGCAC